Long non-coding RNA from Acanthopagrus latus (yellowfin seabream), 467 nucleotides. RefSeq lists it as uncharacterized. The transcript has 2 exons. The record is from RefSeq and is a predicted model, not a curated record. Lineage: Eukaryota; Metazoa; Chordata; Actinopteri; Spariformes; Sparidae.
ACGAAACGCCCGCAGCGCUGAUGUUGUGUGACUCCUGCUCCACAGUAGCCGUGCUGAUGACGCUCUCGUCCUCUCGGAGUGACAACAGUGCCAGCAGUCAGCCGUGUGAGCCGCUGCAGACGCUGCCAUGUGCUCUGACGUGUUGACACAGAGCGACCAGCCAUUGAACCUGGAGCGGUUUAUCUCAGCCCAGCAGAUGGCACUGGAACACUGAAGCUGGAGCGACGCGUCUUUUACCUCUCUGUGUGUGAAAGAAGAAGGGGAUACAUCACCAUCAUGAGAUAUGUCAGCCCAACAUUUCCUCUCAAACUGGCCAACAGAUUGGUGGAAAUGAACGCCGCGCAUUAAAAGGAUGGAGGAGAGGAGCAAAUGUGGAAUCUUUGAAUAUGUUUAUUUAUAGAUUUGAACUUUACAUUUAGACAAAGUUCUAGCAAAAUGUGCACAAUACAAAAAAUAAUAAUAAUAAU